RNAcentral lists this ribosomal RNA (879 nucleotides) under uncultured bacterium. RNAcentral's name for it is "bacterial SSU rRNA". It matches the Rfam family "Bacterial small subunit ribosomal RNA", at positions 1 to 892 of the family's 1533-position model. The record is from RNAcentral.
CCUUAGAGUUUGAUCCUGGCUCAGGAUGAACGCUAGCUACAGGCUUAACACAUGCAAGUCGAGGGGCAGCGGGAUUGAAGCUUGCUUCGAUUGCCGGCGACCGGCGCACGGGUGAGUAACGCGUAUCCAACCUUCCGUACACUCAGGGAUAGCCUUUCGAAAGAAAGAUUAAUACCUGAUGGUAUGAUGAGAUUGCAUGAUAGCAUCAUUAAAGAUUUAUCGGUGUACGAUGGGGAUGCGUUCCAUUAGGUAGUAGGCGGGGUAACGGCCCACCUAGCCAACGAUGGAUAGGGGUUCUGAGAGGAAGGUCCCCCACAUUGGGACUGAGACACGGCCCAGACUCCUACGGGAGGCAGCAGUGGGGGAUAUUGCACAAUGGGGGAAACCCUGAUGCAGCGACGCCGCGUGGAGGAAGAAGGUUUUCGGAUUGUAAACUCCUGUCGUUAGGGACGAUAAUGACGGUACCUAACAAGAAAGCACCGGCUAACUACGUGCCAGCAGCCGCGGUAAAACGUAGGGUGCAAGCGUUGUCCGGAAUUACUGGGUGUAAAGGGAGCGCAGGCGGGAAGACAAGUUGGAAGUGAAAACCAUGGGCUCAACCCAUGAAUUGCUUUCAAAACUGUUUUUCUUGAGUAGUGCAGAGGUAGAUGGAAUUCCCGGUGUAGCGGUGGAAUGCGUAGAUAUCGGGAGGAACACCAGUGGCGAAGGCGGUCUACUGGGCACCAACUGACGCUGAGGCUCGAAAGCAUGGGUAGCAAACAGGAUUAGAUACCCUGGUAGUCCAUGCCGUAAACGAUGAUUACUAGGUGUUGGGGGAUUGACCCCCUCAGUGCCGCAGUUAACACAAUAAGUAAUCCACCUGGGGAGUACGACCGCAAG